GUGUCAGCCGCCGCGGUAAUACGAACUGUGCGAACGUUAUUCGGAAUCACUGGGCUUACAGGGUGCGUAGGCGGCCUGUUAAGUAGGGUGUGAAAUCCCCCGGCCCAACCGGGGAAUUGCGCUCUAAACUAGCAGGCUUGAGUAAGCUAGGGGUGCACGGAACUUCCAGUGGAGCGGUGAAAUGUGUUGAGAUUGGAAGGAACACCGGAGGCGAAAGCGGUGCACUGGGGCUUAACUGACGCUGAGGGACGAAAGCCAGGGGAGCGAACGGGAGUAGAUACCCCGGUAGUCCUAGCUGUAAACGAUGAGCACUGGGUCGGAGAGUCUUCCAUAACUUUCCGGCCGAAGCGAAAGUGUUAAGUGCUCCGCCUGGGGAGUAUGGUCGCAAGGCUGAAACUCAAAGGAAUUGGCGGGG
RNAcentral lists this ribosomal RNA (415 nucleotides) under uncultured prokaryote. RNAcentral's name for it is "bacterial SSU rRNA". It matches the Rfam family "Bacterial small subunit ribosomal RNA", at positions 505 to 918 of the family's 1533-position model. The record is from RNAcentral.